This 67-nucleotide small nuclear RNA is filed under the name Felis catus (domestic cat). RNAcentral's name for it is "U4 spliceosomal RNA". It matches the Rfam family "U4 spliceosomal RNA", at positions 1 to 67 of the family's 138-position model. From Rfam's summary of the family: U4 small nuclear RNA (U4 snRNA) is a component of the major U2-dependent spliceosome. The structure of U4 snRNA from yeast and human has been reported. U4 snRNA presents a k-turn RNA motif in the 5p-SL related to recognition of Snu13 protein. Lineage: Eukaryota; Metazoa; Chordata; Mammalia; Carnivora; Felidae. RNAcentral also lists the same sequence under 1 other name. The record is from Rfam by way of RNAcentral.
AGCUUUGCACAGUGGCGGUAUCGUAGCCAAUAAGGUUUAUCCAAGGCGUGAUUAUUGCUGAUUGAUA